UACGGGGGGGGCAAGCGUUGUUCGGAAUUACUGGGCGUAAAGGGCUCGUAGGUGGCCAACUAAGUCGGACGUGAAAUCCCUCAGCUUAACCGGGGAACUGCGUCUGAUACUGGAUGGCUUGAGUUUGGGAGAGGGAUGCGGAAUUCCAGGUGUAGCGGUGAAAUGCGUAGAUAUCUGGAGGAACACCGGUGGCGAAGGCGGCAUCCUGGACCAACACUGACACUGAGGAGCGAAAGCCAGGGGAGCAAACGGG
Molecule: ribosomal RNA, 253 nt
Filed under: uncultured bacterium
Lineage: Bacteria
Description: partial 16S ribosomal RNA
Rfam family: Bacterial small subunit ribosomal RNA
Source: RNAcentral